GCUUAUCAAGAGUGGUGGAGGGACAGGCCCUGUGAAGCCCGACAACCUGCAGUUCCUGCAAGGUGCCAAAUCCUGCGGUGAAGCCGAAAGAUGAGA
Molecule: non-coding RNA, 96 nt
Filed under: bovine gut metagenome
Description: SAM riboswitch (S box leader)
Rfam family: SAM riboswitch aptamer (S box leader)
About the family: The SAM riboswitch is found upstream of a number of genes which code for proteins involved in methionine or cysteine biosynthesis in Gram-positive bacteria. The SAM riboswitch acts at the level of transcription termination control. The predicted structure consists of a complex stem-loop region followed by a single stem loop terminator region.
Source: RNAcentral